ACUGGCGGACGGGUGAGUAACGCGUAUGCAAUCUACCAUUGGCACGGGGAUAACACCUCUAACGAGAUGCUAAUACCCGAUGACGCAGCGGCACCGCAUGGUGACAGUUGUUAAAUGCUUCGGCGGCCAUUGAUGAGCAUGCGUUUGAUUAGGUAGUUGGUGAGGUAACGGCUCACCUAGCCCAACGAUCAAUAGCUGGUCUGAGAGGAU
This 210-nucleotide ribosomal RNA is filed under the name uncultured bacterium. RNAcentral describes it as "partial 16S ribosomal RNA". It matches the Rfam family "Bacterial small subunit ribosomal RNA", at positions 94 to 301 of the family's 1533-position model. The record is from RNAcentral.